RNAcentral lists this non-coding RNA (27 nucleotides) under Rattus norvegicus (Norway rat). Lineage: Eukaryota; Metazoa; Chordata; Mammalia; Rodentia; Muridae. The record is from RNAcentral.
UGGCUAACUCAGAUGUAGUGGAACCAU